This 1584-nucleotide long non-coding RNA is filed under the name Nicotiana benthamiana. RNAcentral describes it as "long non-coding RNA (NBEN_LNC032744)". The record is from RNAcentral. Lineage: Eukaryota; Viridiplantae; Streptophyta; Magnoliopsida; Solanales; Solanaceae.
UUCAUUCUGCAUUCUUCAGAAAAACACACUCACCUAAAAGAAGAGCUGAAAAUACUUUUUUUCUGGAUUAAAGAGUAGAAUUCCAGACUGGACACCAAAAACUUUCAAAAAAGAAACCAAAAAAAAACUCUAAAACCCAAAGAAAAUAGUAGAGUUGUAGGUCAAUUACAUAUUUCUAGGUCAAUUACAUACUCCAAAAAAUUCAAAGCUAUAGUUGUUUCAAAAGGUGUAUUUUUUUCCUGUGUUUUUGGAUUCUUCAAGGAUUGUUCUGAUUCGAUUUCUGCUGAUUGUUGCUUGUUGAUUCAAUUGUAUUUCUGGUUUCAUAUUGUUCUUCUUAUAACUUGCAUUUCCAGGUACUUUUUCUUCUGAUUUUGGGUUAUUUGAAUAAGAUCUAUUAGAACUAUAGUUAUGUGUUUGAGUUUAACUAGUUAUUUGUUUUAGCUUAAGUGAUUGAUAUCUCUUUGAAUUGCAUGUCUAUAAUUACUUAUGUCCCUCGAAGCCUGAACUUUGUUUGUAGUAUGUACAGAUGUUCAGUUGUUGGUUUGUUUAGCCUAAAGCGAUGAACCGACCUGGAUGUUUACUUUCGAUCAUUGUUAACCUUUUAAAAUCUUGUUUUCUUUUUUAUAUUUAUUAAUGAAAAUCCUCAUCUAUUCAUUUGGGCUGAAAGGAUGAUCGAAACCGGAAAGUUAACAGAUAUUAUGUGAGCAAAAUUUAGUAGUUCUACAAAGCUAGAUUUAAAAAAGUUUGUCUGAUGGUUUAUGGUUUGUAAUAAAAUGUUCUUGGUGCUUCGAUAGUCAUAUUUGUAAUUGUUACAAUUGUUUGCAUUUUUGUUAUUUCUGUGACUUGAAUGGAAACGUAAAACUAAAAAAAGGAUAAUGAUUUUCUUUUGUUUAUUAUUGACUUCCUCCAGUUGUUUGCUUGUAAGUAGAAGUGAAUCUGUUAAUUCGCAAAGUGGCUAUUUGGUGAAGGGCCUGCAAUUUUCUUUGCUUUUUCACCAUGUUGUUGUCAGUUAAAAAAUUAGAAUUUUUUACCUCCUAUAGCAAGCGUUAAUAUCUUAUUUAUUUUAAAUAAAUAGCAUUUAAAAAAAUAUAUUCUCUAGAUACCUUUUAAUGUUUAUAGCAGAAUAUUUAAUUUUAGUUACCUCCUACCCAUAAACAACUAAAUACGCUAUUCAGUUACACUAUUUUCUUUCUCUUUCUACUUUGAUAUAUGACAUUCUCUUCCCACAUCCCUGAAAACACAACUGAGGGCUCCGCCCGCCGCCACUCUCAUGGCAUUUGUCGCUGUCGCCUGGAUUCGCCGGAUCCGCCAUCAUUCACUCUAUCGAAACCCUAACUAACUCACAAAGUUUCUUUUUCUGGCAAAAGGGAGUUUUUUGGGAAAAGCUCACAUAUUAGUUUGCUGCAACAACAUAUUCUUUAUUGUGUUGUGAAAAGGAUUUGUGCUGACUCUGCUCACAAGAGAACAAAGGCACUUGAUUGAAUACAAAGGGUUAGAAGCAACUUGAUUUUCUGUUAAGAAGGACCCUUUGUAUUUGAUCAAAUACGAAGGGCCUUUUUGGUGAGAUUCAGGGUUUUUUUCGAC